GCCAAUGUGGCUCAGUGGUUUGAGUGGUGUAUUAAGACUCUGGAGACCAGGGUUCAAUUCCCAGCUCAGCCA
Molecule: transfer RNA, 72 nt
Filed under: Phrynosoma platyrhinos (Desert horned lizard)
Lineage: Eukaryota; Metazoa; Chordata; Lepidosauria; Squamata; Phrynosomatidae
Description: tRNA-OTHER
Source: RNAcentral